CGUGAUUGGAUCCGCUUUUUUGCAAAGGAGAAAACAUUUUCAUUUCUCCAAAAAUCGAAAUCGCGACUAGGGUCCUUCUUCCUCUCCAAAGCGGCGAUAGCUUCCUGGUCAUCAUCUUCUCCGAUUAAGGUCCGGCGAUUUGAAGUCGAAGUCGAAAUCCUUUCCUUACGCCUUUGUAUCCUCGUCUCCUCUGUCUCCCAAAUCUCAUCUCCGGCGAAAUAGACAAGGUAGUCCCCUCGUGUCCUCUCUCAGUUAUGUUUCAUCGAUUUUGGGUCUUGAAAUCUGUGAAUUAGGUUUGGGUUUAGUAUAAAUGUUAUAGGGUUUCAUCUAAUCUGUCAAUUAAAGGUUUGGAUUGGUCUCGGAUGUUUGAUUGGUUUAUGUCUUGCAAUUUGUGAUUGUCUUGCAAUUUGGAUAAUGAUCUCUGUUUCCACUUGA
This is a long non-coding RNA of Arabidopsis lyrata subsp. lyrata, 435 nucleotides long. RefSeq lists it as uncharacterized. The transcript has 2 exons. NCBI's taxonomy places the organism in Eukaryota, Viridiplantae, Streptophyta, Magnoliopsida, Brassicales, Brassicaceae. The record is from RefSeq and is a predicted model, not a curated record.